Molecule: RNA transcript, 850 nt
Organism: Dendrobium catenatum
Lineage: Eukaryota; Viridiplantae; Streptophyta; Magnoliopsida; Asparagales; Orchidaceae
Gene name: NAC domain-containing protein 22
Exons: 2
Source: RefSeq, a predicted model, not a curated record
UCCAUUAAUCGCCGUUCUACAGAAGAAAUUAAAGAAGAAUAAAAAGAAGGAAAUGGAAAGGUGUGGAUCGGAGAAGAACAUGCCGGGAUUCCGGUUCCAUCCGGCGGAGGAGGAGCUUUUCGAGUUCUAUCUCCGGCGAUCAGUCACCGGGAAAAACCGGAGCUUUAGCAUCAUUUCCACCACCAAUCUCUGCCUCUAUGAUCCCUGGGAUCUCCCAGCUUUGGCUAAGAUGGGGGAGAGGAAUAGUACUUCUUCGUGCCAAGGGACCGGCGACGAGGGAACGGAGAUCGGCCGAAUCGGACGACGGAGAGAGGUUUCUGGAAAGCUACCAGUUCCGAUCGGUCCAUUCGUAGUGUGGCUGAUCCCCGUCGUCUCGUCUAAUCGGCUUGAAGAAGACUCUUAUUUACUACCGCGGAAGAGUCCCUCCAGGGACCAAAACAGAGUGGGUGAUGAAUGAAUAUCGCCUCCCUGAUAUUUCCAGCUCUGAUUCAACGGCAUCUACGCCCCCUCUGUUUCAAAAUGCAACGUUAAGUAGUUUUCGUAGUUUAAAAUUUUCAUUUUUGCGCUGAUUUUCCUAUUUCUUACCAUGCAUCAGUCUAUCAUUCAGUACCAUUUCUGUUGAUUUCCUAACUCGAUCGGAAUUAUUAUUGUUGGCUGUAAAGAGUGAUAAAGUUUAAUGUCAUAAUUUUGUUGGAAGAUGCAGCAGACAGAUAAAUAGUAAUUAAAGGUGUAUCAUUCAUAAAAAAACACUGGUUUUAACGUGGAAAUUUUUGAAAAAAAGGAAAAAAUUAUGGUGCCUUAUCAGUUUAAAUGAAUUCACAAGUGUUUGUAGUCGAUUACAAAUGAGUCG